This 466-nucleotide ribosomal RNA is filed under the name uncultured bacterium. RNAcentral describes it as "partial 16S ribosomal RNA". It matches the Rfam family "Bacterial small subunit ribosomal RNA", at positions 329 to 792 of the family's 1533-position model. The record is from RNAcentral.
UUCCAGACUCCUACGGGAGGCAGCAGUGAGGAAUAUUGGUCAAUGGGCGGGAGCCUGAACCAGCCAAGUCGCGUGAGGGAAGACGGUCCUACGGAUUGUAAACCUCUUUUGCCGGGGAGCAACGGGGUCCUUGCGAGGGCCCGAUGAGAGUACCCGGAGAAAAAGCAUCGGCUAACUCCGUGCCAGCAGCCGCGGUAAUACGGAGGAUGCGAGCGUUAUCCGGAUUUAUUGGGUUUAAAGGGUGCGUAGGCGGUUUUUUAAGUUAGUGGUUAAACGUCGGGGCUUCACCUUGAUUUGCCAUUAAUACUGUAAGACUCGAGUUCAGACGAGGUAGGCGGAAUAAGUUAAGUAGCGGUGAAAUGCUUAGAUAUAACUUAGAACUCCGAUAGCGAAGGCAGCUUACCAGACUGCGACUGACGCUGAAGCACGGGAGCGUGGGUAGCGAACAGGAUUAGAUACCCCAGUA